Molecule: transfer RNA, 72 nt
Filed under: Escherichia coli
Lineage: Bacteria; Pseudomonadati; Pseudomonadota; Gammaproteobacteria; Enterobacterales; Enterobacteriaceae
Description: tRNA-Lys
Rfam family: tRNA
About the family: Transfer RNA (tRNA) molecules are approximately 80 nucleotides in length. Their secondary structure includes four short double-helical elements and three loops (D, anti-codon, and T loops). Further hydrogen bonds mediate the characteristic L-shaped molecular structure. tRNAs have two regions of fundamental functional importance: the anti-codon, which is responsible for specific mRNA codon recognition, and the 3' end, to which the tRNAs corresponding amino acid is attached (by aminoacyl-tRNA synthetases). tRNAs cope with the degeneracy of the genetic code in two manners: having more than one tRNA (with a specific anti-codon) for a particular amino acid; and 'wobble' base-pairing, i.e. permitting non-standard base-pairing at the 3rd anti-codon position.
Source: RNAcentral
GGGUCGUUAGCUCAGUUGGUAGAGCAGUUGACUUUUAAUCAAUUGGUCGCAGGUUCGAAUCCUGCACGCUCA